This 505-nucleotide ribosomal RNA is filed under the name uncultured bacterium. RNAcentral describes it as "partial 16S ribosomal RNA". It matches the Rfam family "Bacterial small subunit ribosomal RNA", at positions 28 to 507 of the family's 1533-position model. The record is from RNAcentral.
GACGAACGCUGGCGGUGUGCCUAAUACAUGCAAGUAGAACGCACAGUUUAUACCGUAGCUUGCUACACCAUAGACUGUGAGUUGCGAACGGGUGAGUAACGCGUAGGUAACCUGCCUGGUAGCGGGGGAUAACUAUUGGAAACGAUAGCUAAUACCGCAUAAUAUUGAUUAUUGCAUGAUAAUUGAUUGAAAGAUGCUAUUGCAUCACUACCAGAUGGACCUGCGUUGUAUUAGCUAGUAGGUGAGGUAACGGCUCACCUAGGCGACGAUACAUAGCCGACCUGAGAGGGUGAUCGGCCACACUGGGACUGAGACACGGCCCAGACUCCUACGGGAGGCAGCAGUAGGGAAUCUUCGGCAAUGGACGAAAGUCUGACCGAGCAACGCCGCGUGAGUGAAGAAGGGUUUCGGAUCGUAAAGCUCUGUUGUAAGAGAAGAACGGGUGUGAGAGUGGAAAGUUCACACUGUGACGGUAUCUUACCAGAAAGGGACGGCUAACUACGUG